Molecule: small RNA, 302 nt
Filed under: Histoplasma capsulatum var. duboisii H88
Lineage: Eukaryota; Fungi; Ascomycota; Eurotiomycetes; Onygenales; Ajellomycetaceae
Description: Histoplasma capsulatum H88 hypothetical RNA
Source: RNAcentral
UAUGGUUAAGGGAGUGUCUGUUCUUAGCACCUACGACAAAAGCUUAGGGCGCAGACACAUGCACUGUACAAAGGGCUCUAGGUGAGUGCUAGCUAACUUACUCGAAGUUUAGGCUGGUAUGGACUGAAGCUUGUCGGGAUGCCGGUCUUCAGGGAUGACACCUAUAUUACCCGCUCGACGCUAGGCCCUGGAAGGGUUUUUGUUGAUAGGAUGGGUUCGUCCGUGAUGCCGCAAUACUAUAGCUACUAAAUUUGAAGUAUUAAUUACUAGUUAUAUGAAUUUACUUAAAUAGAUAUAGAAAU